Molecule: long non-coding RNA, 633 nt
Organism: Passer domesticus (house sparrow)
Lineage: Eukaryota; Metazoa; Chordata; Aves; Passeriformes; Passeridae
Exons: 6
Source: RefSeq, a predicted model, not a curated record
ACCAGUUAGCCAGUGCUUCUGCCUCAGCUUCCCCCAACAGAUGUGAACAGCAGCAUUUAUUUGCAACCCUGGCAUACGGCUUCUUGCGUUGGUUUGAGUACCCUCAUCUCCUUUUCUUCUCAUUUGUUCAUAUUCUCCCUUCAUUGUUGAUGCUUUUUUACUUGGUAAACUUUUUUACUUGGCUUACUUUACAGAUGCUACAGAAGUCUGCAGAGUAUUGACCUGGAUUUGUCAGCAGCUGCCAAAUCCCUUUGAAUCAUGGCUUGUGUGACAUUACUGAUACAGUGGGGUACAGGAAACAGAGAAGGGAAAGGACCAGCAGACCUGAUUCCUGUCACAGUUGUUUUUAUCACUGCCCUGCUAAAUCAUCUCUGGAAGUUCCUGCACUCCCAACCUGAAUUGCUUCCCAGCAGUUACAAAAAGACCCUACAGCCAAGGGCAGUGUUUAUCAAAUCAGACUGUUUAGAGUAAUUAUUUAGUCCACAGAUAUUUGUAUCUGCAUCCAGUGAACUUCUAGAGUCUCCACUUCCAGAGGAAUAAGAGAGAAGGGAGGAAGCUGGAAAAUGAAGAGUCACUUGAAAAAGAAAGAGAGGGUUAAGGCAAUAAGAAGAACCCAGACAGGAAAUGAAAGAU